UCGUCCCAACUUCCUCUCCAAUUCCUCCCCAUUUCCUCUCCAACUCCUCUCCCAUUCCUCUCUCCUUCGAAAUGGCGAGUCAUCGGGCACACAUGACGAGGAGGAUGUUACGAGGAGGAGCGAGGAAUUCUACGAGGCGAUGAACGAGCCUUAGUUUUUUUUUCGGUUUAUGUAUUAUAAAAUCCAAAACUUAUUUAUAUAUAAAAUAUUUUGUUGCAU
This is a long non-coding RNA of Raphanus sativus (radish), 219 nucleotides long. RefSeq lists it as uncharacterized. The transcript has 2 exons. Lineage: Eukaryota; Viridiplantae; Streptophyta; Magnoliopsida; Brassicales; Brassicaceae. The record is from RefSeq and is a predicted model, not a curated record.